This is a non-coding RNA of Microcebus murinus (gray mouse lemur), 1209 nucleotides long. Lineage: Eukaryota; Metazoa; Chordata; Mammalia; Primates; Cheirogaleidae. The record is from RefSeq and is a predicted model, not a curated record.
UAAUAGCAUCAAUUGUGACCUCAGAGUUUGACUUACCCUGUAACUAUGCUCAGCUCCUCAGUGUCGGCGUACCUCUUGGCUACUGCCUGGCUUCCGACUGCUUAGAAAGAUUUGGAAAGGACCUGGAUAGGGAGGAGAAAAAGUGAUGAGAUUGGCAGCUCCACACAGUUGCACAACUGGGUGACCUGGCAUUCACCACAGGGCAGAGGCAGGAGUCGGUUACCUGGAGUGCUGCCAGCCUGGCAAAGGGCUUGCUCCCACGUCCCUGCAGAGUCAAAACAGACAUUCCUGCAUUUGCUAACGACUGCUGGCUCCUACCCCUGCAGGAGAGGAAAAUCCAGUCUGCGCUGGCUUGGAGAUAUUAACCAUCUGGAAUACUGACCUCUGGGAUAAGCCUGAUGUUAAUACCCAAUAGAAGAAGUCAAGCUGGCGGAGAAAGAGGAACUCAGGCACCCAAGCUCAUGGAAAGAACUUAUUUCUAUUCAAGAGGAAAUGGUUAAAAAUCCAUAUGAUAUGACCAUAUAAUGGAAUCUUUCACAAUUUCAGAAAGAAUUACAUACAUCUAGAUGUUGCAAAAUGGAACAAGUGCUAAUAUAUAGAAAAAGCGGAGUCUAUGAAAUAAGCUUUUAUUUGCUCAACAUUCUGGCAUUAAGGGUUCCCCAGAGAGACAGCUGACUCCUGGCCUGAUCACCCCAAAGCAAAGCCCACCCGAAGCUCAGAGUGAACACAGAGCACAGCUUCGUAAUGUCCCCAGCCUUGAGUCAUAGGCUCUCGUAAAAGUGUGACUAGCCUGUAAAGCAUGUGUCUGUGGAUUCUAUUUCUUUAUUUCCAAAUAACUCAUAGUGCAAGGCGCUUCACAUUGCGAGCCCGGAAUAAAUAUCUGUUGGCAAUGACACCCGUGCUAAGAGGUGACUGAGUUCAUUCCCAUGCAUCAGAGCAGAUGUCACCUAGACAUGGGGCAGUCACCUGAGCGGGGGCGUGGGGUUCGUGGCCGCCGACCCCCAGGUGCUCUAUGUUCUUGUUUAAGCACCGGUGGGUGAGGGCAUUCCGCAGUCCUCCCUCUGUGCUUCUGCAAACCUCACGCUCAGGAAUAGCUCUCUGGGGCAGCCCGCGUCCUGCCAUUUGGGUCUGCUCUUGCUGCUGUUUCCUGUUUAUACGGUAAAUGUGGGGCGUGGUGACAACGCCAUUACAAGAUGGCGCCAAUUUCCG